GACGAACCGUGCGAACGUUGUUCGGAAUCACUGGGCUUAAAGGGCGCGUAGGCGGGUCACCAAGUCCGGGGUGAAAUCUUUCGGCUCAACCGGAAAAUUGCCUUGGAUACUGGUGGUCUUGAGGGAGGUAGGGGCAUGUGGAACUUCCGGUGGAGCGGUGAAAUGCGUUGAUAUCGGAAGGAACGCCGGUGGCGAAAGCGACGUGCUGGAUCUCUUCUGACGCUGAGGCGCGAAAGCUAGGGGAGCAAACAGG
RNAcentral lists this ribosomal RNA (253 nucleotides) under uncultured bacterium. RNAcentral's name for it is "partial 16S ribosomal RNA". It matches the Rfam family "Bacterial small subunit ribosomal RNA", at positions 524 to 776 of the family's 1533-position model. The record is from RNAcentral.